RNAcentral lists this unclassified non-coding RNA (391 nucleotides) under soil metagenome. Its description in RNAcentral is "partial contains 5.8S ribosomal RNA, internal transcribed spacer 2, and large subunit ribosomal RNA". The stretch from base 1 to 122 matches the Rfam family "5.8S ribosomal RNA", at positions 35 to 154 of the family's 154-position model. The record is from RNAcentral.
GAUGAAGAACGUAGCGAAAUGCGAUACUUGGUGUGAAUUGCAGAAUCCCGUGAACCAUCGAGUCUUUGAACGCAAGUUGCGCCCGAAGCCAUUAGGCCGAGGGCACGCCUGCCUGGGCGUCACACGUCGUUGCCCCCCCAUCUACUCCUUCGGGAUUGCGGGGGGCGGAUGAUGGCCUCCCGUGCGCCUCGUCGCGCGGUUGGCAUAAAUGCCAAGUCCUCGGCGACGCACGCCACGACAAUCGGUGGUUGCGAAACCUCGGUUGCCCGUCGUGUGCGGUCGUCGCGCAUCGAGGGCUCGAAAAAAUUGCCGGGCUCCGGCUCGGCUUUCAACGCGACCCCAGGGCAGGCGGGGUUACCCGCUGAAUUUAAGCAUAUCAAUAAGCGGAGGA